RNAcentral lists this unclassified non-coding RNA (750 nucleotides) under uncultured Synechococcus sp. Its description in RNAcentral is "partial contains 16S ribosomal RNA and 16S-23S ribosomal RNA intergenic spacer". The stretch from base 1 to 266 matches the Rfam family "Bacterial small subunit ribosomal RNA", at positions 1269 to 1533 of the family's 1533-position model. The record is from RNAcentral. Lineage: Bacteria; Bacillati; Cyanobacteriota; Cyanophyceae; Synechococcales; Synechococcaceae.
CAAUCCCAUAAACCGUGGCUCAGUUCAGAUCGUAGGCUGCAACUCGCCUACGUGAAGUAGGAAUCGCUAGUAAUCGCAGGUCAGCAUACUGCGGUGAAUACGUUCCCGGGCCUUGUACACACCGCCCGUCACACCAUGGAAGUUGGCCAUGCCCGAAGUCGUUACUCCAACCCUUGUGGAGGAGGACGCCGAAGGUGGGGCUAAUGACUGGGGUGAAGUCGUAACAAGGUAGCCGUACCGGAAGGUGCGGCUGGAUCACCUCCUAACAGGGAGACAACAAAAUGUUUAAUAUUAUUAUUUUGUCACCUUAGGUCGAUCGGUAUCUCACGUUCUUAAUUUAUUAAGAAUUUUAUUUCCUAAGUUUUUCUAGGUCACACCCAUUAUUUUCCUGGGCCAUUAGCUCAGGUGGUUAGAGCGCACCCCUGAUAAGGGUGAGGUCCCUGGUUCAAGUCCAGGAUGGCCCAUUCGGUGUUGGGGGUUUAGCUCAGUUGGUAGAGCGCCUGCUUUGCAAGCAGGAUGUCAGGAGUUCGAGUCUCCUAACCUCCACUGACCGAACUUGAUUCCCAUCUCCAAUUUUUUGGAGUUGAGCUCGAUUGGAGUGUGAUUUAGAUUUGUCCGCUGGAUGACCCCAGCUUCCUGUCAUUCCAAGUUUUAGGUUGAUGCCUUGAAUUUGGUUGAUAAGAUGCUGGGCUCGGAUCAAAUGAUCAAGCAAUUGAUGAUUUGAUUUGAAGUUCUAGCAGAACCUUGACA